Molecule: transfer RNA, 37 nt
Filed under: Beccariophoenix madagascariensis
Lineage: Eukaryota; Viridiplantae; Streptophyta; Magnoliopsida; Arecales; Arecaceae
Description: partial transfer RNA-Phe
Source: RNAcentral
CACGGGAAAUGGUCGGGAUAGCUCAGUUGGUAGAGCA